RNAcentral lists this ribosomal RNA (372 nucleotides) under uncultured organism. RNAcentral describes it as "bacterial SSU rRNA". It matches the Rfam family "Bacterial small subunit ribosomal RNA", at positions 526 to 896 of the family's 1533-position model. The record is from RNAcentral.
CGUAGGAGGCGAGCGUUAUCCGGAUUCACUGGGCGUAAAGCGCGUGCAGGUGGUUCGGUAAGUUGGGCGUGAAAUCUCCCGGCUCAACUGGGAGAGGUCGUUCAAUACUACCGAACUUGAGAGCAGAAGAGGAAGAUGGAAUUCCCGGUGUAGUGGUGAAAUGCGUAGAUAUCGGGAGGAACACCAGUGGCGAAGGCGAUCUUCUGGUCUGUUUCUGACACUCAGACGCGACAGCUAGGGUAGUAAACGGGAUUAGAGACCCCGGUAAUCCUAGCCGUAAACGAUGUGAACUUGGCGUUGGUGGGUUAAACUCCAUCAGUGCCGAAGCAAACGCGAUAAGUUCACCGCCUGGGGACUACGGCCGCAAGGUUA